RNAcentral lists this precursor RNA (1608 nucleotides) under Betula luminifera. RNAcentral describes it as "precursor microRNA MIR408a". The stretch from base 1497 to 1608 matches the Rfam family "MIR408 microRNA precursor family". The record is from RNAcentral. Lineage: Eukaryota; Viridiplantae; Streptophyta; Magnoliopsida; Fagales; Betulaceae.
AUGUCCCGUUUGAAGUUAUUUACUCGUCAAAACCUAUUGUUUGGUUCCGACAGUAAAACCUUUUCAUCCCAUCUUGCCAACAACCUAUCGGUAAAGCUCUUUGUCCGAUGGUAAGAUUGUUCCUGCAUAAGCCCAUUCAUUAGCAAUCUCGACCGCAAGAUGAGCCUCCUUGGUACUAAGAGUCAUUCGGGAACAAAAUGGAAUUCUUGUCCUACCUCAUAAUUGGAUCAGCCCGAAGAAUUCUUAUAAGGUCAUAGUUUUUGCUGCGCUGCUGGCUAACCCCUAACAAUUAUAAGAUUUCUACAAGCCCAUUAUGAGUUGGAUACUCUUAAUAUAAUUUAGUUAUGCUAUUAGGAAAAACUCCGAAUGACUAAGGAAGAAAUCCAGCUGCAUAAGACUCUAUAGAGUCUUUUUUUUUUUUUUGAUAGCUAAGCUUUGCGUGGGAUUCUUACACAGGUUAAUUUGUCAGAAGCUGAAUGUAUUGUAGUCUGUCUGAUCAAUUUUUCUUAGCAGUUUCUGGUUUAAAGUUUAAUCUUUGAUGGGCAUUCCUAAGUAUUGUUACUGAGUAGUGUUUGUUUGAGCAGGGUGAUAGGUAAACUUGCCUAAUCAGAGAAAAGAUUUGCUUGAUUGAUUGCCAGGAUUGUAGUUAAGGAAUCACAUUCCACAAAAAGCUUGCUACUGCCCUCCAUAAUGGAAUUUUUUUGUUAUGGCCAAAACAAUAGCUCCAUUUGAAUCACUAAGAACAGAGGCUGCCACAGCAAAAGAAAGGCGAAUUACAAUAUCAAAGUUGACCUUAACUGCACGGUGCACCUGAGGGUGAUGGGGGUUGCCAGCAAUUAUUUUCCUGAUGAGAAUUUUUCCAAGCAGAAAUGUGCGAUCUAACUGUGUUAGAUAUAAGCUUCAGUGUAUUAUGGAUGUCAGUGGUAAUAUUCUUGUGUAUCAAUUGAUUCCUUGCAAAUCAGAUUUGAUCUAGGAUGACAACUGCAGUGAUUUGGAAUUCAAAAAUGUUUCGGUGGGGAAGGGCCAGAUGUGAUUGAGGUCUUAGGAUGGCUUUGAUCCCUGAUUAGAUAAAAGAAAAAAAAUAAUUAUUUAAUAAAAAAAUAAUGAUCAAAAUUUUAAGAAUUAAUAGUCAAUUGGGGUGCAGUACCAUAAAUUGAUUAGAUUCGAGUACUAGGAGCAGGAUGAUAGUACAUGCCACUCUUCCAGGAAUUUGGUACACAAAAGAGGUAGUACACGGCCAACUUGUUCAACUAAAAUUUGGUGUACUACUUCAGAUGUACAAAUGUACGACAACACCCUUCUUGUGUUUGUGGGCAUUAUAUAUAUAUAUGGAACAAACAAAUUGACAGCAUACUCAAAAACAGAGAAGCCCUUUGAAUGGUGAAAAGAAGGUUGAGGCAAUCUUAUCGGGUGGGAGAUUUUUAUAGUUCGACAGCUAGCUGCGAUGGUGACAAAUACGAGGUAAGGGUAAAUAUGGGGGGAGAAAGAGAGGAACAGCAAAGGGACAAACAUAGACAGGGAACGGGCAGAGCAUGGAUGGAGCUAUCGACAGUAUAGGAACCUGUCGUGGCUCUACUCAUGCACUGCCUCUUCCCUGGCUGUGCCUCU